GUUAAAUACAUGCAGUCGAGCGAGCGGAACCAGCAGAAUCACUUCGGUGAGGACGCUGGGAAAGUGAGCGGCGGAUGGGUGAGUAACACGUGGGGAACCUGCCCUUAAGUCUGGGAUACCACUUGGAAACAGGUGCUAAUACCGGAUAAGAAAGCAGUUCGCAUGAACAGCUUUUAAAAGGCGGCGCAAGCUGUCGCUAAAGGAUGGACCCGCGGUGCAUUAGCUAGUUGGUAAGGUAACGGCCUACCAAGGCAGUGAUGCAUAGCCGAGUUGAGAGACUGAUCGGCCACAUUGGGACUGAGACACGGCCCAAACUCCUACGGGAGGCAGCAGUAGGGAAUCUUCCACAAUGGACGCAAGUCUGAUGGAGCAACGCCGCGUGAGUGAAGAAGGUUUUCGGACCGUAAAGCUCUGUUGUUGGUGAAGAAGGAUAGAGGUAGUAACUGGCCUUUAUUUGACGGUAAUCAACCAGAAAGUCACGGCUAACUACGUGCCAGCAGCCGCGGUAAUACGUAGGUGGCAAGCGUUGUCCGGAUUUAUUGGGCGUAAAGCGAGCGCAGGCGGAAGAAUAAGUCUGAUGUGAAAGCCCUCGGCUUAACCGAGGAAUUGCAUCGGAGACUGUUUUUCUUGAGUGCAGAAGAGGAGAGUAGAACUCCAUGUGUAGCGGUGGAAUGCGUAGAUAUAUGGAAGAAUACCAGUGGCGAAGGCGGCUCUCUGGUCUGCAACUGACACUGAGGCUCGAAAGCAUGUGUAGCGAACAGGAUUAGAUACCCUGGUAGUCCAUGCCGUAAACGAUGAGUGCUAAGUGUUGGGAGGCUUCCGCCUCUCAGUGCUGCAGCUAACGCAUUAAGCACUCCGCCUGGGGAGUACGACCGCAAGGUUGAAACUCAAAGGAAUUGACGGGGGCCCGCACAAGCGGUGGAGCAUGUGGUUUAAUUCGAAGCAACGCGAAGAACCUUACCAGGUCUUGACAUCUAGUGCCAUUUGUAGAGAUACAAAGUUCCCUUCGGGGACGCUAAGACAGGUGGUGCAUGGCUGUCGUCAGCUCGUGUCGUGAGAUGUUGGGUUAAGUCCCGCAACGAGCGCAACCCUUGUUAUUAGUUGCCAGCAUUAAGUUGGGCACUCUAAUGAGACUGCCGGUGACAAACCGGAGGAAGGUGGGGAUGACGUCAAGUCAUCAUGCCCCUUAUGACCUG
Molecule: ribosomal RNA, 1196 nt
Filed under: Leuconostoc pseudomesenteroides
Lineage: Bacteria; Bacillati; Bacillota; Bacilli; Lactobacillales; Lactobacillaceae
Description: bacterial SSU rRNA
Rfam family: Bacterial small subunit ribosomal RNA
Source: RNAcentral